AACGAACGCUGGCGGCAUGCCUAACACAUGCAAGUCGAACGAGACCUUCGGGUCUAGUGGCGCACGGGUGCGUAACGCGUGGGAACCUGCCCUUAGGUUCGGAAUAACUCCCCGAAAGGGGUGCUAAUACCGGAUAAUGUCUUCGGACCAAAGAUUUAUCGCCUUUGGAUGGGCCCGCGUUGGAUUAGCUAGUUGGUAGGGUAAAAGCCUACCAAGGCGACGAUCCAUAGCUGGUCUGAGAGGAUGAUCAGCCACACUGGGACUGAGACACGGCCCAGACUCCUACGGGAGGCAGCAGCGGGGAAUAUUGGACAAUGGGCGAAAGCCUGAUCCAGCAAUGCCGCGUGAGUGAUGAAGGCCCUAGGGUUGUAAAGCUCUUUUACCCGGGAUGAUAAUGACAGUACCGGGAGAAUAAGCUCCGGCUAACUCCGUG
Molecule: ribosomal RNA, 433 nt
Filed under: uncultured bacterium
Lineage: Bacteria
Description: partial 16S ribosomal RNA
Rfam family: Bacterial small subunit ribosomal RNA
Source: RNAcentral